AAUUUCCUAGAUCCAAGCCCAUACUCAUUCCUUAUUUAAGCUAACCUAAUUUCUACCCUCUAUAAAACUAACACCUAGCUAAGAAAAGAGCGGGGCCAUGAAAAAAGUGCGCAGCUUUUCAUCCUCACCAUUGUGAACCACAUUUUUCCUUUCUCAAACUAAUUCCUCCAUGAAAUCUCACCAAAAAAACAAACAUCACCUAUUCAUAGCUGAUUAAAAUCAUCAAAACCCAAUAAUACCAUCAUGUACAAAGCUUAGUAAUCACCGUGUCUAGUAACUGCCUUUCCACCGUGCGAAUCACCAAAAUACCACAAUAUAUUAUGUUCCUCUUAAUCUUUUUAAAAACAGAGCAAAUAUUCUAGGCUAGAGCUUUUCAUGUGGUGCAAGAAUAAAGAUUGAUGAAAUUAGGUACAAUAACAAAGUGAAAAAUCAGACGCGUAUGCUACACAUGAAUUGGAAAAGGAAAAAGGCACAAUCAAAGUUAAAGGGAAAAUAGAAAUAAUUGAGGGAAUCUUCAAUGACUUUAAGGUCUUGGUUGCUUAGAUCUAGUAGCGAGGAUGUCUGUUCCGAGGUUGGAUAUUUCCGGCGAGGUUGCUGGCGAGUCCUCUGUUCUCUUGGUCGAGUUGUUCUUGUUGAAUUCCCACCCUUGUAUUCAAGAAGUGUUUCUGAUAUAAAAGGUCCGUUCCAUCUCACCUUUUGUCAAUUGCUAUCUUAUUUGGUGUUGGAAUGAUAUAUUUAGCCAAAUUCCUUGUUUGUGAUAUUCUGUUCAUAAUUGAAAUUGCUCAUAGUUGGNNNNNNNNNNNNNNNNNNNNNNNNNGGAUGUGAUGAUGCCUAUUCAUAGAAGCAGUUUCAAGGAUAUUUAUUUGGUUUAUGAGUUGAUGGAUACAGAUCUUAAUCAUAUCAUUAAGUCGUCGCAACCUUUUUGUUGGCAUUGCUUUGAAAAUGUAAUAGAAGAUACAGCAAAUUAAUGUGAACAAAUAGUCCAAAUGUUUAAAACCAUCGACCAUACAAAUGAAUUUAUUAGUGGGCCCGUCUUUAAAUAAGCACUAAGUCAUAAUAUCUUCACUUACAAAUGACUUCCAUAAAUUAUGACCUUCACAAUAAUUUCAAACUAGUUUUAGGAAAUAAUUUGAACAUUGUAGCUUGCUUUAGGCGCGAUUAAUAAAUCAUCGUGUCUAUGGGUACGGUUCCCUGGCAUGGUCACGAUACGUAAUCCCCAAUUCGGGUGUGCAUUUCAUGCGACUCAAACGUAACAACUUUGAAUAAUAAUAAAAUACAGAUGUCGUGAAUCGCGGGUGCAUUUCAUGCAGCAUGGUUCGCGGCGUGUUCCAAAACAAACAAGUGUACGACAAUCGUAACUUGUUCAAGAAAUAAUUUUAUAAAUCCUAAAAAACGAUCAAAUGAUUAAAAGCGGUUAUAAAGUUAAAAUUUACAAUUGGCUAAAAACAUGUAGUAAAUUAGAUAAUAGGCCAAUAUUAAUAGUUUAAGCGACCGUGCUAGAACCACGGAACCCCGGAAUGCCUAACACCUUCUCGCGGGGUUAACAGAAUUCCUUACCCAAAUUUUUGUGUUCGCAGACAGUAAAUAGACUCAAUCUUCCUCGAUUCCGGAUUUUAAACCGGUGACUUGGGACACCAUAAAUUAUCCCAAGUGGCGACUAUAAAUUUUAAAUAAAAUAAUCCCGUUUCGAUUGUCAGUUAAAUUGGAAAAAACUCCCUUAUACCCCUCGGGUGGUAAAAAAGGAGGUGUGACACUAGGUAAACCUAACAAUUUGCGCAAUAACAUAAAUGAAAAUAGAAUUUAACAGCUAGACUGCAACAGAUAACUAUAUAAUGAUAAAAUGUCGCUCGGCAUGUACAAGUAAACCAGCACUCGAGUAUACACAAUAUUUCCAAAACCCGGUAAUCAUAAGUCACAAACUCUAAUAAUUUUUCUAACUGUUUCUAUACAUCAAUAACUAGAAGAAAUAAAGGAGGAACAACAUAAAAGGGAUAGAGGGGGACUCGGAGGUCUACGGAGGCAGGUAGAUAUACCUUGAAGUGUCUUGAGCAGCAGCUAUGCGACUAAUAGCGGGACUGGUAGGAGGUACCGGGACCUACACACAAAACAUGUGCAUAAGAGUAGAAUGAAUACACCAUAAUGGUACCAGUAAGUGACAAGCCUAACCUUAGUAGAGUAGUGACGAGGUCAGGUCAGGACCCCAAUGGUAUAUAAUAAGCAAGACAGAAGAUAUAAUAAUGUAAAUAGGCUGAGAAUCUAACAAGGAGAAUUACCAAAAAUAACAACACAAUACAUAGAGAUAAAUAAUAGGGGCGCUCCCGAGAUACCGUUUCGUAGUCCCAAAAGUAAAUGAUAAACAGGGGAUCUCUCGAGAUACCGUCUCGUAGUCCCAAAAGUAAAUAUACAUGGAGAUCUCCUAAGAUGCCGCCUCGUAGUCUCAAAAGUAAAUGUGCAGGAGGAUAUCCCUAGGUACCGCCUCAUAGUCCAAAAGUAAAUGUGCAGGAGGAUCUCCCGAGGUACCUCCUCGUAGUCCCAAAGGUAAACACACAGCUCGAAACAUAUGAAAACAACAUUUAACAAUAAGAACUCUACAAUUUAAGACUGAUACGAAUCAAGGAAUAAUAGGAAUUCAACUAAGCAUGCCGCAUAGAUUUCAAAUAAGCAUUUAAGACAUGUAGGCAUACGAUACUAGGCUAAACAGGAUAACAACACAUGCGGGUAUAACUCAAUGAAGAUGUAACAUGUUACUACUCAGUGAAACCCGAAUUUUUCAACAAUUAGCCUGUGUACGCAUUCUUCACCUUGCAUACACAUCACUCGCAUAUCACAGAAAUAUCACAACAGUACCAAACACUAAGGGGAUUUUCCCCACACAAGGUUAGGCAAGCCACUUACCUUGCACCAAGCUAAUCAAUUAGUAAAAAUGCCUUUUCUGCAAUUUUUCGACUCCGAGUGGCCCAAAUCUAGCCAAAAACAAUCACAUACCUUAAAUAUAACUAUAAGAAACUAAUCUAAUUAAUGAAAUUAAGUUAUUAUCAAGAAAUUAGAAAUUCACCCCAAAAUGUAAACCCGAGCUCACGUCUCAGAAUCGAGUAAAAGUAAAAAAACGAACACCCAUUCAGCCACAAGUUCACUCGUACCAAAAUUACUCAAAUCUGAUCUCAAAAUCUCAAACAAAACCCAAAAAUUUGGUUGAAGAACUUUCAAACUUUUUCUCCAAUUUUCUCAACCCAAAUCCUUAAUUAAAUGAUAAAAUUAACUAUAGGUUAUGGAAUAUAACCAUAAAUGAGUUAAGAAUCAAUACCAUAUCGCUUCAUCUAAAAAUCCCUUAAAUUAUCGCCUAAAUCUGAGCUCUCAAGUCCCAAAGUGAAAAUGAGAUCAAACCCUCAUAAUUUCCCCCUUUCUGCCCUGUGAUCUCGCACAUGCGGACCCCCAGUCGCACCUGCAAUGCCGCACUUGCCGAAUUUCCAUUGCAGGUGCGGAAUUGACUUAAGACACCUGGGUCUGCUUCUGCGAUCAAGUAGCCACACCUACGCACUUGCGGAUAAUUGUCCGCUUAUGCGAAAUCCUUACCCAGCUCGACUCCCGCAUCUGCGAUCACUUCUCCGCAGGAGCGGCUCCACUUCUGCGGUCCUUUUGUCGUACCUACGACCACUGGCUAUCCAUAAUAGGGCCACAUCUGCGGUCAACGUCACCGCAGGUGUGAUGACACUAGAAGUUGAAAAACUUCAGCAAUUCUCACAAGUCUAAAAUUUAUCCGAAAAUAAUUUGAAACACACCCGAGUCCCCCGGGACCUCAAUCAAAUAUAUAAACAAGUCCUAAACACCAUACGAACUUAACCAAGCCCUCAAAUCACAUCAAACAAUAACAAAAAAAUGAAUCACACUCCAAUUCAAACUUAUUGAACUUGAAAUUUCAAACUUCUACAACCGAUACCGAAACCUAUCAAAACAUGUACGAUUGACCUCAAAUAUUGAACAAAAGUCAUAUUCGACAUUACUGACCUACUCUAGCUUUCAGAAUCAGAAUCCGACCUCGAUAUCAAAAAUUCCACUCACGGUCUAACUUCCUAAAAAUUUAACUUUUGCCAUUUCAAGCCUAAUUCAGUUACUGACCUCGAAAUCACAAUCCGAACACGCUCUUAAAUCCAAAAUCACCCAACGAAGCUAACAUAACUGAUAAAACUCCAUUCUGGAGUCAUCUUCAUAUAUUUCCAACUACGGUCAAAAUCCUAGAACUUAAGCUUCCGUUUUAGAGACUAAGUGUCUCAAAUCACUCCGAAACCAAAACAAAACUUUCUGAAAAGUUACAUAAGUAGAAAAAGAUACGGGAAAAACAAUAAUUAAGGGAUCGGAACUAAUACUCUCAAAAUGACCGACCGGAUCAUUCCAUUAGGGCCCUAAUCCUGGUUAAUUUGUUCAUCAUUUUCUCACAUAAGUCUACCAUCAUCUGCCUUCCCUUUGUAUCAAAUUUUGUGACAUGAACAUCCAACAUUGAUAGAAUCCAAGUGUCAUCUCGGAUAUAAGCAUAAUAAAUUAAUAAUCAUGAUUAAUUGCACCUCAAGAGAUAUAACUAUCCGGAGAAGAAAAAAAUGCCUAUUAGAGAGUGUUUUUCUCUUAAAUGGGUGUUAUACAAUGCAAAUCUUAACGGGUUUAAAUGAUUUCUCUUCUAUGGAGCUGUAGUUGUUUUACCCAUUCAGUGGGUUCACUUAACACCAUCAAUUCCUAUUACUUCAUUAACACUAUCAGAUCCUAUUACUUCACUACUUCAUAAACAAGAAAAAAUAUUUGCUCUCUGACUCAAACAACUGUGACUAUCUCUAAACAAUCUAUGUUAUGUUUUUAAGCUAUUUGUCACAUGAUCCUAUUUUCUGCGUUUGUAUUUCCUUUUUAUCAUGUCAAAAGAAAACUUUAAACCGCAAAUCUUUGCAUAAUAGUUGGGUUAUAUAAGUCGUAAAAUUGCAAUAUAUAAGAUGCAAUUUGUAAUUGCGAUAUAUACAUCGAAAUUGAAAAUUGCGAUAUAUGCAUUUAUAUUGCGAAGUAUAAAUCGCAUUUACCAAUUGCAAUUUAUAUAUUGUAUUUACUAAUUCUUUAUAAGUGCCAUUUGCCAAUGUAAAUGCCUAUAUUUUGACCAUAUUUUUCUAUUUGAUUUUGUGUUAUUAGUUUGAAAUAUAAUAAUAGAAUGGUAAAGAAUUGGGCCAAUUAGUUUUUGUUUUAUCAGUUGGGCCUAAAUCAUGCCAAAUCAAAGGUCCAAUCCGUUUGAACUGUCCCAGCCUAGGCUUGUCUGAUGGAGCAUUCAAGCAACAUAGUUUCAAGGCAAAACUACGUCGUUUUAUUUACUGAAUCAGAUAUUAAAUCUCACCAGUCCAUGCCCUGAUGAUCCAACGACUGAAGAUCAAUCCCCCACUCAGGUAUUUAAACCCCUAAAUACCAAAAUAUUUGCUCUAUUUUCCCUAUUUCCUUUCUUUCUCUCCUCUGUCCUCACUCUCUUAAACUCCCCGCGUCUCCACUACCCCUCACGGUGGCUCUGCUGGCCGAAAAUCGCCACCACCGGCCGGUCUUCAUCCAAACCCCAUAAAACCUUACAACAAUCUCUUUCUCUUUUUACCCUCUCUCCUAAUUCGAGCCCCAAAUCUUCAAAAAUCCCUCUAAAUUCUGUGAAAUCAAAACCUUAGAUAGCCGCCAUUUAUUUUCCUCUUCAAUUUCACGAAGAACCAGUGACUACACCCCCCACAAAAACUACAUGAACAUGUAGAUCUCAAUGAGAUCUACACUUUCCUUUUAACUUCAUCCCAAAAACACCACCGCCGCCGAUCCAACUAGCCCACUAUCCAAGCCACCCUUACCAUUGACAAGCCUCAAUGUUUAUAAUAUUUUUGACCCAUGGACACCCAUUUCCUUUAGGUAUGAAUCUGAAUUUAUUGAAUUUAGCGUCUGCCAAAAUGAAACGUGUGCUUCAAGGUCAGACAGCCACGUUUUGAUGACCCCGACAUCUCUUCGUUGCUCGAUUUGGCAUCGACUUUCCCUCAUAUGGUAAAACCCUACCUCCCUUUCUUUUUAUUUUUCUUUCUUUCCUUUUCUGUUUUUGUUUUUGCUAUUUAGAUUUCAGUUGAUUUCUUCGCUUGAUUUGGUCAUUCCUGAUUCAUUUGGCUGCACUAAUAUAAUUUGAAAUAGUUGUAUUAUCUAAUCGUUAGUCAUUUUUUGCUAUUAAUUAUUGUCUGAUAGUGCAGCAAUACUAUGUUUAAAUUUGUUUAGUGCAAUAGGUUAUAGUUUCAGUUGCUCUAUGUUAAUUUUCUCAUAAAUCAAACUGAUUUUAGUCUGGUUUAUUUGAAUGCUUAGCUUGGUUACGAUUGAAGUCAUAUUUACUUUGUCAAUUCAAUUAGUGAGUUAAGUUCUAGUUUAAGUUUGAUUUAUGUUGAUCUAGUUUGGUGUUGAUAGUUUAAAGUUGGAUGGUAGAUGAGUUUAAUCAUGAAAUAUGACACUUUAGUAGCCUACUUCUUACUAGUAGGGUGGCUGAAAGGACCCCUUUCCUCCGUACUUCUGCCACAGUAGGUUUCAGGCUAUCAUUUCACCUUUUGGGAAGCCUUUGAACUGUGUUUAGCAUACAAAAUCGAUUUUUUUAGAUUGAUUUUUGGUGAAUCAAAAUUUGUCCAAAAAAUGACUUUCUUUGCCUACUUACGGGCUGCUCUUUCCUUACUUUAAGCUUACAAAACUAUCAUAUAUAGAAGACAUCUUUUACACACUAAAAACACAUAACUAAAUAGAGUAAAACAACAGCUAAAAUUUUAUAGUGAGAGCUGAAACUGGUGAGCUUCGGGUGAAUGUUUCUCAGAGUGUAUCACUUGUGAGAAAAUAAAGGAAUCCUUGGUGGUUGCCGGAGUAAGUAGCUACUGGUAUCAAAUACUUUCUUGCUAGAUUUUUCUGGGUUUUUUUCUCGGGUUAUAAGUUGUUGAUUUUGUUGCUGAAAUUCAAUUCCUCCCUUGAUGACAUUUUCUUUCUACUAUCCAGGUAAUUUUCUUAAAAUGCUACUAUAAUUUUGAGUCAAGAUUGAAUGGACACGAAGUAAUUUGAGUUUCUUUUCAAUUUAUUUUAAGCUUUAAAAGCACUUUGUUCUUGUAAGGUUUUGUGUGUGAGCAUAUAUGAUAAAUUUUGGACUUCUAUGUAUAUUCUAGUUGACAAAAUGUCUUAAACCUUCUGGUUCUUAGUUGCUUUGUUAUUAUGACUCACUAUCACCUUUGUUUCAUGAAACUGCUAGUAAAACAAAAAUGCAAGUGAUGCAUAUCCAGGUAUUUAAGUUGGUAGUGUUAAACUCUUUCAGAUAAAGUUCAUUCGUCACCCGUCUUGAUAAUUUAUUACAUGUUAAACAUCACGCUACACAAGCGAUUUCAUGAAGUUAAAACACGCCUAUUAUUUGCCUAGCUUUUAAAUUAAUUACUAAGGCGAAUAAGUUGUUAAAAUUUUGGAAAGAAAAACUAGCUUUUCAUUUAAAGAAAAGAACAUCUCUAAACUCGUUGGUAGGAAAAGCCACGUUAUUACAAAGAUAGAUAUGCUAAAAUAUUUGAAGUAAGAUUACUUUGAUUUUCAUAGUUCAAAACAAAGUGCUAGGCUUGUUCUAACUUUUAAAGUAUAGAGCCAGCCUAUGGGAAUUUGGACUACUAGUUCACUUUGAAUAUCACAUGGCCAUUAGGCCAAAUUAUUUUAUAUUGGGCUUUGCAUGGCAUUGGGAUAGCUUUUACUUAAAUAGGAAAAGUGGACCAAUAACUCACAAAAAGAAAUAGACCCGCAGCCUAUUGCUUUUUGGUCUAUCCAGCAAAGAAUGGCACAUACCUAUAACAAGAAAGUGCGCCGAAGACACUUUGAGGUAGGCCAACUCGUUUUAAAAUCAAUCUUUCCAUACCAGGUUAAAGCUAAAGGAAAGUUCGCCCCGAACUGGCAAGGACCCUAUAUCAUCAAGUAAGUGUUACCAAAAGGGGCCUUGCACUUGGAAGAUGAAGAUGGAUGGGUAUCAGACAUGACCAUUAACGCAAAUGCAGUCAAAAUAUAUUAUAUUUCAUAUAUACUCACUGUAGAACUUUCACGCAUGAUUUUCUUAGAUCGAGACGACGAAGGCUAUCAUUGCUCACUAUCCCAAAUAGGUAUCACCCUUUUGUUAACCCUUUUGAGUCAUAUUUGCAUUCUUUGUUUUUCCUCUUUUUGGAACUGUGUGCUUGUUAAAACAAAAAAGAAAAAAAAGAAAAAAAACAGCAAUCAAACAACAAAUCUUAUAAGUUAGUGAACUAUGUUCGACCUGAUUUUAAAAGUAUAUGUAGGCAGCCCUAACCUGGGUUCGGUCCCAUCACAACAAAAAUUCAUAUCCACAAUACUCCAAAAUUGGGGUAGGAAUUUGUUUUAUUUUUAUGGUAAUUCUUUAAAAAUGGUUCAUAAAGUUGUAAUUCAGUUCGAGCUUCUUUUCACCUUUUCCCGUUAAGACCUUCCAAUCGAUCUUUGAGAAUGUUGAAAUCACCAUGCCAAGAUGUCGGACCACUUGAUGCAUACAAUCAAGGGCGGCAGAAAAAAAGAAAAAAGAAAACUAGAGAGUCUUAAUGGUGAAAACCCAAAUGGGCACCAUAAGGCAAUAUUGAGUAGAGAAAUAAGUGUCUUAUUGGUGGAAAGCCAUAUGAGCAACAUAAGGUGAUGAUGAGUAGAGAAAUGAGAGAGCGAAAACCUGCAUAAGGCACUACUGGCCGAACGAAGGUCUUCAAUACUCAGGCAUGAGCACAACCAAGGACUCAGUUUCCAGAUGAACGUUUGCAAUAGAUUUUGAGAUUUAGACAGCUCAGACGGAUCAGGCAUCCAAUCCAAAAUACAUGUCAUGAUUCAUUGAAAUCAGCACAUACCUCCAGAUAAGUCUCCAUAUUCCUUUCCCCAAAAGGGACACCUUUUCCUUAAACAUAGUUCUUUUUCACUAUCAAUAAUUCAUCUAUUUUGCGCAUAAUUUUCUUUGAAUCCCUUUUAGUGUCUAAUCUUGCAUCAAAAGCAAAGCAAAGAAAUGGCUGUAAAACAGGCAAUAGCUUCCCUAUAAUAUCGAGCACAAUUUGGGGCAUAUACGACAUUGACAACGGCACAAAUCCAUCUUUGAUCUCUUUUGAUCAACCGAAUAAAGUGUUUCAAAGAAAUCAAAAAGGUCGCUAAGCAAGAACUUGCUUCAUGGGAAAAGUUGAUAGCACCACGACACAAAUAGGUAUUGGGUGCAAGAAAAUCAAGUUUGAUUUGUAAACAAAAAACAAACCGCCAAAGUAAAGACGUGCUUUCUAGACAAGGGUCCACAUCACUUUAAACAUCCGGGUACGAAACAGUCAGAGGCAACACCAGAAAGCCAAGGUCUCCAGAAAGUGAUAAAUUUCCAAGCAACUCGGUACCACACUGACAGAACCAGUCCUCUGACAGCGGGGUGGCCUGGAAUUAAAAGUACUUAGAGCAUUAAAGCCACAAACCGACCACCACUUUGAAAACUCAUAAUUUUUUCUUCGUUUGAAGUAGAAACAAAGCAGUGCAGAAUGGCAAUUCUUAAAGGAUGAAUAUAACCAAAAGUAAGUUCCUCAAAAUCUCCUUUUUUUUAGCAUGCAUCACUAUUGUUCAUACCUCCCAUUUUCGUAGCUUAACUAAGGUAGAACUUUUUCGCCUGGAAGGCUCCAAAUCAUAUUUUCGGAUAGAAGUACUCUUCACUCAUGCUGUUUAAUGUAACUUAACUCAGUUAGAACCUUUACGCCUAGGGAGAUAUAGCUCAUAUUUCUGGGUAGAUGUACUCUUCGCUCAACCCAUUUUCGUAGCUUAACUCACGUAGAACCUUUUCACCUAGGGAUAUCUAGCUCAUAUGUUCUGGUAGAAGUACUCUUCGCUCAGGCUCUUUUACGUAGCUUAACUCAGGUAAAACCUUUUCGCCUAGGGGGAUCCAAGUCAUAUUUAUGGGUAGAAGUACUCUUCGCUCAGGCUAUUUUACGUAGCUUAACUUAGGUAGAACCUUUUCGCCUAGGGGAUCCAACUCAUAUUUCCGGGUAGAAGUACUCUUCGCUUAGCCCAUUUUCAUAGCUUAACUCAGGUAGAACCUUUUCUUCUAGGGGGAUCCAGCUCAUAUUUUCGGGUAGGAGUACUCUUUGCUCAAGCUAUUUUACGUAGCUUAACUCAUGUAGAACCUUUUCUUCUAGGGGGAUCUAGCUCAUAUUUUCGGGUAAAAUACUCUUCACGUUUUACGUAGCUUAACUCAGGUAUAACCUUUUCACCUAGGGGGAAUCCAACUCAUAUUUCUGGGUAGAAGUACUCUUCUUUCAUAUCAUUUUUGUAGCUUAACUCAAGUAGAACCUUUUCUCCUAGGGGAUCCUGCUCAUAUUUCCGGGUAGAAGUAUUCUUCGCUCAGGCUGUUUUAUGUAGCUUAACUCAGGUAGAACCUUUUCGCUUAGGGGGGUCCAGCUCAUAUUUUCGGGUAGAAGUACUUUUCGCUCAGCCCAUUUUUGUAGCUUAACUCAAGUAAAACCUUUUCGCCUAGGGGAUCCAGCUCAUAUUUUCGAGUAGAGGUACUCUGCGCUCAGACUGUUUUACUUAGCUCAACUCAGGUAGAACCUUUUCGCCUACGGGGAUUAACUCAUAUUUUUAGGUAGAAGUACUCUUCGUUCAGGCUGUUUUACGCAGCUUAACUCUGGUAUAAUCUUUUUUCCUGGGGGGAUCCAGCUCAUAUUUCCGGAUAGAAGUACUCUUCGCUCAGAUCAUUUUCGUAGCUUAACUCAGGUAGAACCUUUUUGCCUAGUGGGAUCCAACUUAUAUUUUUUGGUUAGAAGUACUCUUCGCUCAGGCUGUUCUACAUACCGUAACUCAAGUAGAACCUUUUCCCCUAGGAAGAUCAAGCCUAUAUUUUUGGAUAGAAGUAUGCUUUCGCAGCCCAUUUUCGUAGCUUAACUCAGGCAGAACCUUUUCGCCUAGGGGGAUCCAACUCAUAUUUCCGGGUAGGAGUACUCUUUGCUAAGGCUGUUUUACGUAGCUUAACUCAGGUAAAACCUUUUUCGCCUAGAGGGAUUCAGCACUUUAUCAAUAAUACAGGGCGCCAACCCCUAGUUAUAUUUCUUUCAGUAAUACAGGGUACCAACUCCUGGUUAUAUUCCUUCCUAGUGAUAUAGGACGCCAACUCCUGGUUAUAUUUCAUAGUGAAAUAGGGUGGCAACUCCUGGUUACAUUCCUUUACAUUUCCUAUCGGUAAUAUAGGGCACCAUCCCCUGGUUACAUUCUAUCCCUUAAUACAAAGGUACUAAGCCAUGAUUACAUUUCUUUUCAGUAAUUCCAGGCACAAUCUUCAGGUUAUGUUCUCUCUCAUUAACUCAUGAUACUCCCCCUAGUUGCAUAUCCUCACAUAUCUAGUUUAUACAAAGACUGUUAAUUGGGUCGGGCUAGCCCUAUCAUAGCUCGAUUCGACUCGGUUUAGCCCGGGUCAACCCGGUACGCUAGGGGGUGGGACGAGUUGGGGAGGGUUUGGGGGAGCCAGGCGGGAAUGAACAUAUUUUGAUAACCGGUGCCUCGGAACCUGGUUAGCCUAGUUACCCUUUACCGGGCUACAAGUCGGUUUAGCCAGGUUACAAUUGUGUUAAUUUUUUUUUAAAAUUUAUGACCGUUGCCAACGGUCAAAUUCAAAAAUGACCAUUGGGCAACGGUCAUUUUUGCUAAAAUGGCCGUUCCGGCCUACCCUUUUAAGAAAAUAGCCCCCCUCCCCCACCCCUAAUAAUUGAUAAAUUACAAUUUUAACGUUUUAAAAACUAUAAAUAAACCCCCUUCUUCUUCAUUUUUUUCUCACAAUUUUCUCUCUUACUACUCUAAUUAUCUCUUGAUAAUAUUGUUUAUUUCCCUUUAAUUCUCAAUUACUUAUUAUUUCAAGUUUCAUCAAAUAUCUACUUUAGUCACUAAAAAAUUAUAAUUAUCAAAUAUUAGGUAUUCAAGUGAAGCGUGGUAUCAAUAUUCAAUCUCAUCAAAUAUCAAAUAUUACUCUAUCAACUGAAGUUUGAUAUCAAAUUUAGUGCGACAUCCGAAAUCCCGGUAUACUCGUUCAGUUUCAACAUCUGAGAAUGGUGCUUGGGAGGAUAAUGAUAAUGUUGAAGAUUAUUUGAUUUGGUCUACACUAGGAGAUCAUCAACAAACCAGUCGCAUCAGAGAGGACAUUUAGCCAAGCAAGGUAGAAACUAGGAGAUAUCGUCAUUCAUUGGGUAGCAACGCUUUGGAAAUUCUAGUGUGCUUUAGAAAUUGGACAAGAUCAGAACGAUGAAAUCAAGGGCGUGAAGAGGUAGAUGAAAUGGAGGACCAAGAAAUUAGAGAUAUAAUGGUUUAUGAUUCCGAUUAAAGCAAUGCCGAAAAUCAAGAACCUCAUGUUGACAUGGAUCAACUUACAAAAAUGAUGCAAAGCAUGUGAUGUACUUUUUUCUUCUUUUUAUAAUAGUUGUAAAAUUUUAAUUUGCAAGUUCAAAAAUAAAAAAAAAUCAAAAUAAGACUAGCAAAUUAAUUUGAAGUAUUAUUUAUUAUUCAAUAAAAAUAUAAAACGAAAGCCUUCAGAGUUUGAUCCUUACAUAUUAGUCUUAUUAAAUAAUUUUUUGUAGCCACUUACUUUCAAAUUUCAAAUUUAAUAUUUUAAAAAUCAAAUUUAAAACUUUAAACUUUAAUGUUUAAAGUUUAAUUCUAAGCCUUAAAAGUUUGCAAACACUUAAGUAUCAAUAAUAUUGAAUAAGAAAAAUAAAAUAUACUAAAAAAAGUAACUCGGCCUGGUUCGGACCCGUUAAUCCCAAAUCCGGACGGGCCCUAAUUAGACCAAACUUUCCCAACCCCUUACCAGCUCGUUUACCUAGCCCACUAACCAGUCGGGAACACUAACCGGACGGGCUAUUUUUUUCGUUUACAUCCUGAACCAGCCCAUCCAAUUAACACCUAUACUUUAUACUACUAGAUUUGUCUUCCUUUCAACAAAGUAGAUAGUUUAUCGCUUUCUCUAAUAACUCACAAAAUUUUCCUAGUACCAAACUGGAGCAAAAAAUUUUUGUUCGUUUUGCUCAUCUUUGAUGGCUUUGCAGGACCCCUGCCGUAUAGGGUGAUUAUAACAUGUACUUUUGGGGUGAGACUAGGGUGAUUAACAUGAUAAGAAGGUUAUGUUAUGAAUUAGUUUAGUCAUAUGAUAGCCGUGUGUUAUGUUUUGAAGUCAAGCGAGUUGUUGAACAAAAGCCGAUGAAAGAAAGUCAUCACAAGUUACAUUCAUAAGUUUUACUAAAAAGUUGGGUCCAAUGUAAUUGCGAUUUUCUCCAAAUAUACUUAGAAUUAUGGAGUGUUCCACCCAUAAAAUUGAAGCUAUAUGAGUCUAUUUUCUAACACAUUAAACCGUUUAUUAUUAUGACAUCGGAAUAGAGAGAUAUAUGUAUUUUUGCGAGACUGUGCAGGCUGCUAGGUGACAAGUAGGUGUGUCACCUACUUGGUUAAAUGAGAGCCCAAAAAGAGGCAAUUUUGGGUCAGCAAAAGAGCCCAUUUAAGGGCUUAUCUCCUAAAAUAUAAACCUCAUUAUAUAUCACAAAUAAAUAGACCUAAACCCUUGCAAACUUCCUCCCAAAAAUUACACACAAACCCUAAUUGAUUUUCUCUCCCUUUCAAGUUCUAAUUGGAGGCAAAACCUAGAGUUUGAAGAACCAAUAUAGGAGCUGAGUUAUCCAACAAACAAGGUAAUUUUACUUCUCUCUUUCAUCAAUUUUUUCUUCUGUAAAUUCAUGGUAAGUCGUUCUAUAGUUGUAAGAACUCACGGGACGGUGAUUGGAAGCCGUGAGUUCAAGUUAUUCACUUGUAGCAGACUAUCUUGUGGACUAUUUUGUGUUGCUAUUGGGAUGCGUGUUUUACUACUAUUUUGUGGGGUUUUGGAGGAGGAAGGGCGUGGAUGAACACCAUAUAGAUGUAGGGUGGUGGUCUGAUUGUUCGUCGUAACAUUUUUGGGUCGUUUGACACUACUAAAGUGGUCGUUUUGUGUAUGAAGAGAUUGCGGUGUGUUGAGAUAUUUUGUAGUAUUUUAUGGUGUAUAUAAGGCUGGAAAUUAAUGUAUAUAUGUUGUUGUUAUUGUUGUGUUCUUGUGUUGUUGGUGUUAUCUUGAAUUUGGAAGAAGUAAGGAUUAUAGGGGAGUUGUUACCCUUUUUUGUACAAAAUAAGCUUGUCGUUCGUUGUGCAAUAGUUGUACCUUUCGCAACUUAAUGAUAUUAUUAUUAUCGUUGUUGUAGAUUAAUGUGUGAAGAGGCGAGCUCAACUUGGUGAUUGGAAAUAUUGUGAUAUGGUAUGUUAAGGCUAAGCCCUUCCUUCAUUUUGGCAUAAUCUCGUAACUACAUGUGUUUGAUGACGAGACAUAAAGAGAAGUUCAUACUCUCGAAUUUAUAUACAUUAUACUAGUCUUAUAAGUUACAAUAUUCACCCUUAUUGGGACUUUGUAUUCAAUUGAGUAUUAACUUCUUCUAGUCAAGAAAGCAAAGGGUAUAUAUAUAUAUAUACAAUAUUACAGUAUUUUCACUACCACCGAGCUAUAAUCGGUGUUCAGGCCCCUAUUAGGCAACCUCUGAUCAGAUGGUAAGUUAUAUACCGAGCCUAUUGGGGCCGAGCACCUAUGAGCGAGCCCAAAAUGGCUUAGACACAGAGCCUAGUAUGGUCGAGCGCCUAUGAACGAGCCUACAACGGCAGAGCAGUUACAUGUUCCGAGCCUUAUAUGGCCGGACAUUUAUUUUACUUACUAUAUUGAGAGAGUUGAUUAAGUAUCAGUAGGUAAGUAUAUCUCCAAAUCAUCUUUGUCUCCCAGUUACUUUCAGUUAUCAUAUUAUCAAUUUAGUUUCAGCUUUUAGUUAUUUUAUUACCUUACAUACUCGGUACAUUAUUUUGUACUGAUGUCCCUUUUCUGGGGGUGCUGCAUUUCAUGCGUGCAGGUGUAGACAGACAAACGGGUAGACCUCCUUAGUAGGUGUUGCCUGAGUUCAGCCUGAUCAGUAAGCUCCAUGUCCUUCGGAGUUGUCGGGUCUAGAGUUUCGUGUACAUAUUAUGUAUAUAUGUAUAUAUGUUAUGGGUAGGUCGGGGCCCUGUUCCGAUUACCAUACAUACAUCAGUAGAGGCUUGUAGACAUAUCCUAUUAGUUAGUGCAAUAUGUUGAGCUUGUAGGCCUUGUAUGUAUAUUUUGUUGGUUGUCAGCUGUAGUAGCUAUAACGGCCUUGUCAGCGCAACUUUAUAUUGAUGUUUAGUCAGCGCUAGCUUCUGUUCAGUUUUAUAUUUUUCUUUGUAAAUUGUCUUGGAAUGUAG
RNAcentral lists this long non-coding RNA (15312 nucleotides) under Nicotiana tabacum (common tobacco). Its description in RNAcentral is "long non-coding RNA (NTAB_LNC001581)". The record is from RNAcentral. Lineage: Eukaryota; Viridiplantae; Streptophyta; Magnoliopsida; Solanales; Solanaceae.